RNAcentral lists this non-coding RNA (24 nucleotides) under Arabidopsis thaliana (thale cress). The record is from RNAcentral. Lineage: Eukaryota; Viridiplantae; Streptophyta; Magnoliopsida; Brassicales; Brassicaceae.
UGAGACACUUACGACAUGGGCAGA